GGGCAUGUAGCUCAGUCGGUUAGAGCGCCGCCCUGAUAAGGCGGAGGUCCCAAGUUCGAAUCUUGGCGUGCCCA
RNAcentral lists this transfer RNA (74 nucleotides) under Planctomycetia bacterium. RNAcentral's name for it is "tRNA-Ile". It matches the Rfam family "tRNA". Rfam says of the family: Transfer RNA (tRNA) molecules are approximately 80 nucleotides in length. Their secondary structure includes four short double-helical elements and three loops (D, anti-codon, and T loops). The record is from RNAcentral. Lineage: Bacteria; Pseudomonadati; Planctomycetota; Planctomycetia.